This 245-nucleotide ribosomal RNA is filed under the name uncultured Prevotella sp. RNAcentral's name for it is "partial 16S ribosomal RNA". It matches the Rfam family "Bacterial small subunit ribosomal RNA", at positions 524 to 768 of the family's 1533-position model. Lineage: Bacteria; Pseudomonadati; Bacteroidota; Bacteroidia; Bacteroidales; Prevotellaceae. The record is from RNAcentral.
UACGGAAGGUCCGGGCGUUAUCCGGAUUUAUUGGGUUUAAAGGGAGCGCAGGCCGCCCCUUAAGCGUGACGUGAAAUAUGGUGGCUCAACCAUCGGACUGCGUCGCGAACUGGGGGGCUUGAGUGGGGACGAGGUAUGCGGAAUUCGUGGUGUAGCGGUGAAAUGCUUAGAUAUCACGAAGAACUCCGAUUGCGAAGGCAGCAUGCCAGGCCCUUACUGACGCUAAUGCUCGAAGGUGCGGGUAU